RNAcentral lists this ribosomal RNA (747 nucleotides) under uncultured bacterium. Its description in RNAcentral is "bacterial SSU rRNA". It matches the Rfam family "Bacterial small subunit ribosomal RNA", at positions 28 to 772 of the family's 1533-position model. The record is from RNAcentral.
AUUGAACGCUGGCGGCAUGCUUUACACAUGCAAGUCGAACGGUAACAGGCCGCAAGGUGCUGACGAGUGGCGAACGGGUGAGUAAUGCAUCGGAACGUGCCCAGUCGUGGGGGAUAACGCAGCGAAAGCUGCGCUAAUACCGCAUACGAUCUAUGGAUGAAAGCGGGGGACCGUAAGGCCUCGCGCGAUUGGAGCGGCCGAUGUCAGAUUAGGUAGUUGGUGGGGUAAAGGCUCACCAAGCCGACGAUCUGUAGCUGGUCUGAGAGGGCGACCAGCCACACUGGGACUGAGACACGGCCCAGACUCCUACGGGAGGCAGCAGUGGGGAAUUUUGGACAAUGGGGGCAACCCUGAUCCAGCAAUGCCGCGCGCAGGAAGAAGGCCUUCGGGUUGUAAACUGCUUUUGUACGGAACGAAACGGCUCUGGUUAAUACCCGGGGCUAAUGACGGUACCGUAAGAAUAAGCACCGGCUAACUACGUGCCAGCAGCCGCGGUAAUACGUAGGGUGCGAGCGUUAAUCGGAAUUACUGGGCGUAAAGCGUGCGCAGGCGGUGCUGUAAGACAGGCGUGAAAUCCCCGGGCUCAACCUGGGAAUGGCGCUUGUGACUGCAGUGCUGGAGUGCGGCAGAGGGGGAUGGAAUUCCGCGUGUAGCAGUGAAAUGCGUAGAUAUGCGGAGGAACACCGAUGGCGAAGGCAAUCCCCUGGGCCUGCACUGACGCUCAUGCACGAAAGCGUGGGGAGCAAA